CAGCCGCCGCGGUAAUACGUAGGUGGCAAGCGUUGUCCGGAAUUAUUGGGCGUAAAGGGCUCGCAGGCGGUUUCUUAAGUCUGAUGUGAAAGCCCCCGGCUCAACCGGGGAGGGUCAUUGGAAACUGGGAAACUUGAGUGCAGAAGAGGAGAGUGGAAUUCCACGUGUAGCGGUGAAAUGCGUAGAGAUGUGGAGGAACACCAGUGGCGAAGGCGACUCUCUGGUCUGUAACUGACGCUGAGGAGCGAAAGCGUGGGGAGCGAACAGGAUUAGAUCCCCUGUAGUCCCUGUCUCUUAUACA
This 301-nucleotide ribosomal RNA is filed under the name uncultured bacterium. RNAcentral's name for it is "partial 16S ribosomal RNA". It matches the Rfam family "Bacterial small subunit ribosomal RNA", at positions 509 to 808 of the family's 1533-position model. The record is from RNAcentral.